UGCCAACGGCAUAGCUGGGUAGCUAUGUGUGGACGGGAUAAGUGCUGAAAGCAUCUAAGCAUGAAGCCCCCCUCAAGAUGAGAUUUCCCAACUUCGGUUAUAAGAUCCCUCAAAGAUGAUGAGGUUAAUAGGUUCGAGGUGGAAGCAUGGUGACAUGUGGAGCUGACGAAUACUAAUCGAUCGAAGACUUAAUCAA
Molecule: ribosomal RNA, 196 nt
Filed under: Staphylococcus aureus
Lineage: Bacteria; Bacillati; Bacillota; Bacilli; Caryophanales; Staphylococcaceae
Description: partial 23S ribosomal RNA
Rfam family: Bacterial large subunit ribosomal RNA
Source: RNAcentral